GUGCUACAAACUGCUCAGGCUACUCCUUGGCACCACUGGGAACAGCACUUUCUCUGCUUCAAUCCAGACUUUCAGAAAUAAACGGAGUUUGUUACUGACAGGCUCUUGUGGAGAACUGUUUGAAGAGAGGGGAGACAUCAGAGAAGAAUGGGGAAAUGAAGGUGAAAACUGAAAAACCACCUCAAACCCUCCUUUCUGGGGACAGUCUGCUCAUUUUCUGUUAAUGCUGAAAUCUUGCUGCACUCCGUUCUAUCAGUGCACUGGCUAUCCCAGAGCCUGAAUGUGGAAAGAAGCAGGAAGAUCCGUGUAAUUACGUUUCCCACCUAAGCUCUGCUCUGCCUCCCCCUCUAAGCUCUGCUCUCCACCCCCUCCCCCCCCCCCCCCCAUUUGGCGGAUGGAGCCGAAGCUCACUGCUUGGUCAGGCAGUCAGCUUGUGGUGGUCGGUUACUCAGUUGGCCUCCUUCCUAUGAAGCGCAAAGCACCCGCCACUAACUUGCCGGGGUUGGCCCUAGCUCUGCUCCGGAAGUGGGGGAGCCCAAGCCUUUAUGGAACACACUCACGUUGGGGUGGCCUCCCCCUCUCCGUUCUCCUGUCCUCCCAACCAUUUCCCAUAUCGCAAGGUUGCUGCAGUUUAUCACUGCCUCUUCCAAAGUGUGGCAGCUAGAAUAAGACCGUCUCAAAUCCCCAGCCUCCAGUCCCCAGCCUUUGACAUGUUUUCAGGGCGAUUUUAUCCACAUCCGAAGCUCAAAUAAGCUGACGGCUCUCUCACAUUUCAGCUCCAUAUAUUCACCUGGCUCCUGGACAUCUGUCUACUCGAGUGCUCCUCAGAUACCUCAAGCUCAGUACGCCCUAUUUCUAGUACUUCCUCCACAGCUGCACAGAUGGCUCACCACUCACUUGGUGGGCCUGGGGAGACACCUCCCGCAUCCCAUCAUCCGAAGUCAUCAACUAGGCUUUCUUUAGAUUUCCCUUCUUACACCCUACAUCUCAUUCCUUAAUUCAGGCCCCUGCUGAACAUCUAUGCAGUGCUUGAUUUUGUGUGCCUAAAGUUGCCGAGCCUUUGAAGAACACUCUUCUUUCUGACGGGAUUCUGUCCCUCUUUCUUAGGUUCACUUCCUCUCUGCCUGUGUUCUCAAUCUCUAUCUCCAUUUCUUCAAACUGCUUCCAAAAUUACCUCGGUAGUGUAAAUUUGAUUGUGUCACUCACUCCCCACUCAACAGUCCCCCAAGUCUUGCCAGGUUAUCCAUGUUCUCAGCAUACUUUGGGCUUCUGAGGCAAAGUGGCUCAGAGCUUCUGUGGCCGCUCAGUAGUGACCCUUGUCAUUGACAUAAUGGCCCUUGAAGCUAUUUGACCACAUUUGCCAGGCAUCCCCUCCAUGGAUCCUAUAAAGGCAGAACAUAAUUGAGAACCUGAGUUUAAGUUUCUAAAGAGUAGCACCCAACUGAUCAUGUGGUUAUUUUUAUGUUUACCUUCAAAAUAAAUUUAGGAAAGAACAAUAAUCAUUUCUUCUUUCCUGAUUGACCAAUAAAGCUUCCAUUUAAAAUGUCUGCACUAAAUUUGUGCUUUCUAAGAUUUCUCUCCUCUGGAACUGGGUUUUUAUUAUUAAGACAUGAUAAAUAUUUUCCCUUUCUGUUUUUCAGUAACAUCCAUUAAAAAAUGUUGAGGAAGUACUGCAUAAUCAAGGAUUCUGUAUACUGACUUAAAAGAUGUUAUCCGUGGUCAGCUGCAGUCCAGAAGCAGGUGAUCUUCCUUCUGACAUAUUGUCAGAAAGUCAGUAGUAGUCUGACACUACAUUACCAAGUCCACACCAUUCAUGUCACUUCAUCUCAUCACGGAGGCAUUUUAUCAUCUCGCAUUAUCAAAAGAACAAGGGUGAUGGCAGCUUGGAAGCUGCGUUGGCAAAGAAAGGUCUGGCCAAGCGAGAAGGUCUGGACAUUUUAAACAGCAGCAAAAACAACAAUAAAAGGAACCAACCCCAGAAUGUUACCUGCUGGGGCAGCGGAUUCUAUUCCUCUGAGCUUCACGUUCCAGCUGCCACAGUUACAGCCUAAAGUGCAGUUGGAUGGGAAGUGCCGGGCUGCCACUUGGAUUUCUUUUGAACAAAAGGCAUCGUGCAGCCACACAGCCCAUUUACUAGACCUGUGGAAUGUAAAUGUGUGUUUCAGAGACCCUGGUGACAGUUUUGCGAUGGUAAAUGCUCCAACUCGGAGUGAACGGCAGAUGCUGGAAUAUGAAAUGCAGAACACACACACACACACACGCGCACACACACACACACACACACACACACACGGAACUUCCUGGCAUGCACAGACGAGACACCGGACGGACAGCCUAGAAGUGGAAAAUGAAUGUAAAUAUUACCCCACCCACUCAGGUACAGUAUACAGAAAUGAUCCAGAUGUGCGGUUUAUAUUACUAUGAAGUGCAUACCACAUUCGGUUUCCAGGCAUUAGUUCAAGCAAAUAUUUCCUCGCCUUAGCACAUUCCUAUAUUAUAUUCCAAAAGUUGACCGUGUAACGAAUGCCCACCUACAUAAUUACUUCUCCUGCUGUUUAUAGAACAUGCAUAGCACCAUGGAAAAGAAGGUAACAGAAGAAUAGAAUUUCCAUACCCGUUUGGGCUGCUGUGGGGUACUUACUGAUUGAUAAGAAGUGUCGUGUGUCCUUGUGACAUUGGACGUGUGUGUAUGUUGUGUGAGUUGCGUGCACGUGUAUGUGGUGAGGUGGAGCGCCGGGGGAAGAGAUAGAAAUUAUUUUGCUUUUUAAAGAGCUUAGACUUUAUUCUAAUCAACGAAUAAAUUCUUGUUAUUACCAGGCUUUCUAAAAGACCAACAGUGAUAUAAAAAUAAAGUGUGUUCAAGGGGUAAUAUUUUUUUAGGCUGAAAAUAUUGCUUCGACCAACUGAACACAUAGCCCGUACCAGGAGCCCACAACCCCUUCCCCACCAAGGGUAACCAGUUUCCUCUUAGUUUCCCCUGUCAGUGAUUUUUAUGACUUGAGGUUAAGCUGUUUCCAACCUCAAUUAUUCUGUGUUCCCUUAGGGAGAGUCUCACCAGCUCUCUCUGAACUAUAAAAAGGUUCUGUGAAUAUGUGAUCAUCCGACUCCACUCCAAGUGUAAAUACCAUGCCAUUCCCCAUUUAUAGUUGAUAAAUGCACAGCUACUUAGCACUUUAUCAGAGGCAGAAUUAUGCUCUGGAAAGAGUAUAAAAUUUUGGAAUCAAUUGGACAUGAAGUUACUUCUAACUUCUAAAUUGGGCUCAGCCUCGGGCAAGUUUUUUCUCAUCAACAUGUGACAACUCCGCACCUUGUCUGGCACGUGAUAGCACGCAAGGAAUGUGAGUUUCUUUACCCUGUCCUUCCACAGACCUACAGUCAGCCACACUCUGUCUCAGAAGCUGGAAUGAUGGGUUCAUUCCCGGUGCACCUUGGUGCUGCAGUUCGGUGGUGGUUUUUCCUAAGUUUUAUCUGCUUUCCAACCUGCAGGAUAGCCUUUAGGUGACUGAAAAGACGCGGAUGACAACUGACAUGCAACCGAGGAUGUAAAGGCAACAUGUACAAUAAGGACAAGAAAGGUGCCACCGUAGACAAAAAUCUAUAGGCUGCUGCAGGGCCCCAGCUCUCCUUGAGACAGUGAUGAUGGUUAAUAGCAACGCUUAACACUUACUGUGUAUUUAUUAUAAACCCAGACUGUGCUAAGUCAUUUAUCCCUCACAGUUACCCUGAGAAUUAGGUACAGGUACUGUUAUUAUCCCAUUUUACAGAUGAAUAAACUGAAGUACUCACUGGCCUAGAAACUCGCCCAAGAUCUCACUUAUAGUUCAUACUGAAGCUGGGAUUUGAACUCAGCUAAUCUGUCCCCGGGGUUUGCUCUCUUCUCCAGAAAUCAAAAAGUCUGGCUGCAAAUCCACAUUAGGCACUGAGUGUGAAUAGUCAGUGAUCGUUCAGUCACAGAGGUACCUGGGAAAAGUGCUUCUGCCUCUCAGAUGUCAUGUGCCAGACCCCCACUGCACCGCAACCCUACACCUACAAGAGCCGGGGACAGGAGGCGUGUCUGAGUUUAGUGUCAUGGGGAUCAAGCCGUUCCAACCUAGAACCACAACAUCCCGUGUUGGGGAGCAGAUGGAGAGAUUGCCAGUCUGGAGGGUGUGAGCGAGCAUUUGCACAUGGAACCCACAAGCCAUGGAUGUCAGUGAAAGAGCUUGACAAUGGUACCAUUACCCUCCUGAGGAGUACAGGUGGCUAAGCCUCAGCGUCUCCCAGGCCUCUUGGCCCUUUCCAUCCCUGCCUCCUGAUCUUGCUUUCUGGCCAGGUGUCAAGGAAAGAAGUUGGUAACAUCCGUCUGCCUUCUAAACUCAUCUUGUGCAUACUCCUAGGAAUAGAUACCCCAAUUUGUUCUGUAACCACAGAGAAGACACUUUACCCCCCAAGGCCAAAUCACCUCGAAGAAGGCGUCGUGGUACCUGCUGUUUAUUGUAACAAUCAAGCGAGAUAAUAAAUAUGAAAGCACUUG
This is a long non-coding RNA of Felis catus (domestic cat), 4513 nucleotides long. RefSeq lists it as uncharacterized. The transcript is spliced from 4 exons. Lineage: Eukaryota; Metazoa; Chordata; Mammalia; Carnivora; Felidae. The record is from RefSeq and is a predicted model, not a curated record.